GCGCGGUUCGCUUAUUUGGUAAAGCCCAGUCAGGAGCGUCACAGACCGAAUGACUGAUAACCAGGUUCGAUUCCUGGACCACGCACCA
RNAcentral lists this transfer RNA (88 nucleotides) under Massilia genomosp. 1. RNAcentral's name for it is "tRNA-OTHER". The record is from RNAcentral. Lineage: Bacteria; Pseudomonadati; Pseudomonadota; Betaproteobacteria; Burkholderiales; Oxalobacteraceae.